GAUGAACGCUGGCGGCGUGCCUAAUACAUGCAAGUCGAGCGAACAGACGAGGAGCUUGCUCCUCUGACGUUAGCGGCGGACGGGUGAGUAACACGUGGAUAACCUACCUAUAAGACUGGGAUAACUUCGGGAAACCGGAGCUAAUACCGGAUAAUAUAUUGAACCGCAUGGUUCAAUAGUGAAAGACGGUUUUGCUGUCACUUAUAGAUGGAUCCGCGCCGCAUUAGCUAGUUGGUAAGGUAACGGCUUACCAAGGCAACGAUGCGUAGCCGACCUGAGAGGGUGAUCGGCCACACUGGAACUGAGACACGGUCCAGACUCCUACGGGAGGCAGCAGUGGGGAAUAUUGCGCAAUGGGCGAAAGCCUGACGGAGCAACGCCGCGUGGGUGAUGAAGGUCUUCGGAUCGUAAAGCUCUGUUAUUAGGAAAGAAAAACUGUGUAUGUAAACAUGCCCGUCUUGACGGUACCUAAAGAAAAAGCAACGGCUAACUACGUG
RNAcentral lists this ribosomal RNA (497 nucleotides) under uncultured bacterium. RNAcentral describes it as "partial 16S ribosomal RNA". It matches the Rfam family "Bacterial small subunit ribosomal RNA", at positions 28 to 507 of the family's 1533-position model. The record is from RNAcentral.